CGGGCGAUGAGCGCCACCUGUGGGACUGCCGCCGCUCUCCCCUGGGACAGGGCAACUGCGCACACAAGGAGGACGCUGGGGUCGUCUGUACAGAGGUGCUGCCAGGGGGCGGCCUGUCCAUGCCGCUGGCGGCCCUCCUGCCGCUGGGCCUGCUGCUCCUCGGCGCGCUCCUCGCCUUGGCCUGGCAGACGCAGCAGAACCGGCAGCUGAGGACAGUUGUAGCCCGGAGAGAGAUCGCUCUGCGGCAGGAUGCCG
Molecule: long non-coding RNA, 255 nt
Filed under: Lepisosteus oculatus (spotted gar)
Lineage: Eukaryota; Metazoa; Chordata; Actinopteri; Semionotiformes; Lepisosteidae
Description: lncRNA (ENSLOCG00000022272.1)
Source: RNAcentral